UGCAUCGGCCAGGAAUCGAACCCGGGGCGCCCGCCACUAUAAUAUAUAAAUGAGUUUUAAAAAUUGUAAAAAAAAAAAAAUGCAUCGGCGGCGAGCAUUCUACCACUGAACCAAAAGC
Non-coding RNA from Cordylochernes scorpioides, 118 nucleotides. NCBI's taxonomy places the organism in Eukaryota, Metazoa, Arthropoda, Arachnida, Pseudoscorpiones, Chernetidae. The record is from the annotation of a GenBank genome assembly.